RNAcentral lists this transfer RNA (69 nucleotides) under Centropyge flavicauda (whitetail angelfish). Its description in RNAcentral is "tRNA-Arg". It matches the Rfam family "tRNA". Rfam says of the family: Transfer RNA (tRNA) molecules are approximately 80 nucleotides in length. RNAcentral also lists the same sequence under 3 other names. Lineage: Eukaryota; Metazoa; Chordata; Actinopteri; Pomacanthidae. The record is from RNAcentral.
AGGAAGUUAGUUUAAUAAAAACAUUUGAUUUCGGCUCAAAAGCUUCUGGUUAGACUCCAUAACUUCCUU